This 1233-nucleotide long non-coding RNA is filed under the name Gallus gallus (chicken). RNAcentral describes it as "lncRNA (ENSGALG00010007779.1)". The record is from RNAcentral. Lineage: Eukaryota; Metazoa; Chordata; Aves; Galliformes; Phasianidae.
GUGAGGGGACUUGGUGGCGUUCGGGAUGCUGGGAUAGAAAAUUUACUCUGGUGCCUUGGCAGAAUCUGGAGUGCUGGGAUGGGGAAGUUCUUCAGAGAGCACUGAGGUCACGCAGCUGAGUUUUCCUCCUUGUCUUCAAGACACAGGAACUUGCAUUCAGCUACAAAACCGAGCGGGCUGCAAAUCUCAUCAUAUCAUAUGACUCCGAGCAGUAGCCUUAAAAUCAAUGAGGCAAAGAGGUGCAGAAUCCCAUUUAAAUGAGGAGAGAAGAGAAUCCUUCGCUUUUCCCAAAGCCUUGGUUGGAUAAAAGUCUGGAGAGGCUUGGGUCACAAAUGCAGUGAUGAGCAACAUCAACAAAAGGAAGACUUAGCAGCAUGGACCAGUUAAGUGUUUUGGACUGCCAGAUUUGAAAAUGCAUAAGAUAACUGCAUGGUGUUGAACUAGAUUGAGGUCUAUUACAUUUUUGAAAAGUUGCCACAGCCUUGGAUGCCUUUACAGCAGUGCUGUACAAUCAUAGGUUGAAAAACUCAGGCUUUGCUUUGUAGCAGCUGCUGUUGGGUGGGAUCCAUCUCACUUAUCUUUAGUUGAGAUAUCUUUUGUCUCCUGUUAUAGUCAGUGGAGGAAAAUAGCCUCUUGGAGGACACAUUCCUCUGAUCUAUUCUGGUCUGAGAUGAAGUGAGUCCUUCCCAUCUCCAGCUGUAGGUGUCCCUGUUCAUUGCAGGGGAAUUGGACCAAAUGAAAAUCAACUAGUCAAAUUCCUCUGCAAUGAACAGGGACAUCUACAUGAACAGAGACUGACAUAGAUCCCUUUCAACUCAAACGAUUCUAUGAUUUUAUGAUUCUAUGAUGACAAGCAAUUCAGUGGCAGUCCUCUGUGUCAGAAAAGUCAUGUGAAAAUAUUUGCUAAUUUUUACAGCAACACAUUGGUUCUUCCACUCACUUGCCACUUAAGGAUUCAGGUGUUUUGUAUCCCCAAGUCCCCAGUGUAAUGCAAAGGAUAAGGAAUGUCUGCAGACAGUUACUGUGACAUGAGUGGGAGGAGGACACAGAGAUCUGCCCUUUUCAGGAUGACACGUACAUUUUUUAUUUGAAUUUAUUUCUCAUCUGUAGAGAAGUUAUUUCUGAAAACAAGGGCCCUUGAGAAAAUUUUCUUUAACUGAUAGUUCAAACAGGUUUCAUUCAUAAUGCCAUCAGAAUGGAUCUCUGUUGAUUAAAGAGUAAGUGGUGCUUAUU